RNAcentral lists this ribosomal RNA (492 nucleotides) under uncultured bacterium. RNAcentral describes it as "bacterial SSU rRNA". It matches the Rfam family "Bacterial small subunit ribosomal RNA", at positions 32 to 533 of the family's 1533-position model. The record is from RNAcentral.
AAUCAACGCUGGCGGCGUGCCUCAGACAUGCAAGUCGAACGAUUAAAGCUCUCUUCGGAGAGUGUAUAGAGUGGCGCACGGGUGAGUAACACGUAAGUAAUCUACCUUUGAGUGGGGAAUAACGUCCGGAAACGGACGCUAAUACCGCAUAAUGCAGCGGCAUCGCAAGAUGACAGUUGUUAAAGAUUUAUCGCUUGAAGAGGAGCUUGCGGCAGAUUAGCUAGUUGGUAAGGUAAUGGCUUACCAAGGCUACGAUCUGUAACCGGUCUAAGAGGACGGUCGGUCACACUGACACUGAACAACGGGUCAGACUCCUACGGGAGGCAGCAGUCGGGAAUUUUGGGCAAUGGGCGAAAGCCUGACCCAGCAACGCCGCGUGAAGGAUGAAGUAUUUCGGUAUGUAAACUUCGAAAGAAUAGGAAGAAUUAAUGACGGUACUAUUUAUAAGGUCCGGCUAACUACGUGCCAGCAGCCGCGGUAAGUCUCGCGUGA